This 776-nucleotide long non-coding RNA is filed under the name Brassica napus (rape). RNAcentral describes it as "long non-coding RNA (BNAP_LNC016762)". Lineage: Eukaryota; Viridiplantae; Streptophyta; Magnoliopsida; Brassicales; Brassicaceae. The record is from RNAcentral.
CAGCAACCACAGGAAGAAGGUAAUGGUUUGGAGGAGACUUUGUGCACAAUGCGAUGCACUGAAAACCUUGAUGACCCGUCAAGUGCUGAUGUCUACAAGCCAUCGCUCGGAUACAUUAGCACACUCAACAGCUACAACCUCCCUAUCCUCAGAUUCCUCCGCCUUAGCGCUCUUCGUGGCUCCAUCCAUAACGUAACCUCCACGAAACUUUUAUUUAAAUUUGUGCUGACAUUUUUUUUCCAAAAAAUAAUUAAUUUCACAAUUUGGAUGAAUAACGGCAGAACGCUAUGGUGCUGCCGCAAUGGAACGUGAACGCAAACGCGGCACUCUACGUGACAAAGGGGAAGGCUCAUAUACAGAUGGUGAACGACAACGGACAAAGAGUGUUCGACCAAGAGAUCUCCAAGGGACAGUUACUUGUCGUGCCACAAGGCUUCGCGGUCGUGAAACGUGCCACAAGCCAACAGUUCCAGUGGAUCGAAUUCAAGAGCAACGACAACGCGCAGAUCAACACACUCGCGGGACGCACCUCAGUCAUGAGAGGUUUACCACUUGAAGUUAUAUCCAACGGGUAUCAGAUCUCACCCCAAGAAGCUAGAAGUGUUAAGUUCAGCACCCUUGAGACCACAUUGACUCAAAGCAGUGGUCCUAUGGGCUACGAUAUGCCUAGGGUCGAGGCUUGAAGCAUGAGUUAGUGAUGUAACAGCGUUUGAAUGUUCGGUUUUGUACGGUUUGUGAUAAAAAUAAUGUACAAAAGAAGUUCUACGCUUUAAGGC